This 183-nucleotide long non-coding RNA is filed under the name Pan troglodytes (chimpanzee). Its description in RNAcentral is "lncRNA (ENSPTRG00000054568.1)". The record is from RNAcentral. Lineage: Eukaryota; Metazoa; Chordata; Mammalia; Primates; Hominidae.
AGUCCUUCCCCUCAGCUGCAGUGCUUCACUCCGCAAAACAAGAAACAGCAACAUGGGACUUUUCUAGUACAUUCCUUGGGAAACUUGGUAUGUCCUGCUUGAAAGAAAAGCCCAAAUAAGACUGCCAAGAUCAUCCAGAGGUUUCCUGCCAAGUGGGAAAAAUAAGCCUUUAUUUGUUUGUCA